UCGGGAAAAUUUUGCAAUACACGCAAGUGUGACAGAGCAAGCCGAAGUGCUGUUCUUUUUUUGAACAGCUUUUGUGAGAUGUAAAAAGUCUUACGAAUAAGGACCGGGCAAGACUGGUGCCAGCCGCCGCGGUAAUCCCAGCGGUCCAAGUCGCAGCCACAUUUGUUGGGUCUAAAACAUCCGUAGCUUGCUUUUCAAGUCUUUUGUGAAAUCGGGACUCUUAAGGUUCCGGCCUGCAUUAGAUACUGUAAAGCUACGAGACCGGGAGGCGUAAGAAGUACGUACGGGGUAGCGGUAAAAUGCGUUGAUCCUAUAUGGACUAACAGUCGCGAAGGCGUCUUACGAGAACGGUUCUGACAGUGAGGGAUGAAGGCUAGGGGCGCAAAUUGG
This 390-nucleotide ribosomal RNA is filed under the name uncultured euryarchaeote. RNAcentral describes it as "bacterial SSU rRNA". It matches the Rfam family "Archaeal small subunit ribosomal RNA", at positions 339 to 727 of the family's 1478-position model. Lineage: Archaea; Methanobacteriati; Methanobacteriota. The record is from RNAcentral.